GGGCCCGCACAAGCGGUGGAGCAUGUGGUUUAAUUCGAUGAUACGCGAGGAACCUUACCAGGGUUUAAAUGCAGAACGACAGGGGUGGAAACACCCCCUUCUUCGGACGGACUGCAAGGUGCUGCAUGGUUGUCGUCAGCUCGUGCUGUGAAGUGUCGGGUUAAGUCCCAUAACGAGCGCAACCCCCAUUUCUAGUUGCCAGCGGUUCGGCCGGGGACUCUAGAGAAACUGCCAGCGUAAGCUGUGAGGAAGGUGGGGGAUGACGUCAAAUCAUCACGGCCCUUACGUCCUGGGCCACACACGUGCUACAAUGGUGGAGACAGAGAGUUGCCAACCCGCGAGGGUGAG
Molecule: ribosomal RNA, 348 nt
Filed under: uncultured bacterium
Lineage: Bacteria
Description: bacterial SSU rRNA
Rfam family: Bacterial small subunit ribosomal RNA
Source: RNAcentral